RNAcentral lists this ribosomal RNA (486 nucleotides) under uncultured Rhizophagus. RNAcentral describes it as "SSU rRNA". It matches the Rfam family "Eukaryotic small subunit ribosomal RNA", at positions 562 to 1052 of the family's 1831-position model. The record is from RNAcentral. Lineage: Eukaryota; Fungi; Glomeromycota; Glomeromycetes; Glomerales; Glomeraceae.
UGGUGCCAGCAGCCGCGGUAAUUCCAGCUCCAAUAGCGUAUAUUAAAGUUGUUGCAGUUAAAAAGCUCGUAGUUGAAUUUCGGGGUUAGUAGGUUGGUCAUGCCUCUGGUAUGUACUGGUCUCACUGAUUCCUCCUUCCUUAUGAACCGUAAUGCCAUUAAUUUGGUGUUGCGGGGAAUUUGGACUGUUACUUUGAAAAAAUUAGAGUGUUUAAAGCAAGCUAACGCUUGAAUACAUUAGCAUGGAAUAAUGAAAUAGGACGUUCGAUCUUAUUUUGUUGGUUUCUAGGAUUGACGUAAUGAUUAAUAGGGAUAGUUGGGGGCAUUAGUAUUCAAUUGUCAGAGGUGAAAUUCUUGGAUUUAUUGAAGACUAACUACUGCAAAAGCAUUUGCCAAGGAUGUUUUCAUUAAUCAAGAACGAAAGUUAGGGGACCGAAGACGAUCAGAUACCGUCGUAGUCUUAACCAUAAACUAUGCCGACUAGGGA